UUUUUUUUUUAAUUUGUGCUUUAUUUUUUUUUUUUUUUUUUUUUUAAAGUCCUUCUUAUUAUCCUAGUUCAGCCAUCAACUGCUGUCACUGGAGAAAAUGCCUAAAACCACUUAGCAUGAUAGCAGCUUAUUCUUCAAAACCAAGCCUCGAUGCCCUCUUGAAGAGAAGCGGCAUGUCCUCUGAAAGAGAGGUUCUUCAAAUCCAAGUGAGCCUGUGGUCCUGGUAGCCUUCUGUGCCUGCAGCCCUCUGCCCUUUGACCUGCAAGCCCAGUGGCCAGGGUCUGCAGCCUCCAGGCCCAAAUCACUGAGCUGUGUCAGUUUCCACAAGGACAUUCAGCAUAGGGUUUUGGAGAGAUGAUAUCACCUUAUUUUGAACUGGAUCGUCCCCAAGAGAUUGAAGGGAAUAAUCCUGGCCAGCUCUUCUCUCUUUGCUAUAAGAAACCUCUUUGGCUUGUGUCCAAAUGGAGACAUAUUCCAGCUCUUUCCUUCUCCCAUGGUGUGAUGAUUUGUCACCGCCCUCAGAACUAAUCCCAAGGGCACAGUGCUUCCCUCCAGUGCAGUAAGGGCAGCAGGGAGAGAAACAAUGGCACUGGAUGGGUGGAGGUGGGUCGUGCCCAGCCAACAGGUCACUGCCACGGAAGCUGGUUCCCAGAGCCUUGAAAGGCUUAUUGCCACCUACCCCCAGAAAGAAGAAAGGGGCCUCUCUGACACAGAGAUGGACAUCUUAGGUAAAAUAUACAUAUAACUAGCUUGAGGGAAUGUUCUUUGGCAAUGGUGCAUGCCUGCUGGGAAGGAUGAGUUGGUAGUCACCUGUGCUGGUCUCAGCCACCUUUUGUUCUUCAAGGGGGGCUUGCUGGGAUUUGAGCUGGAUAAAAGCAGGAUUUGGCCACAAUUCACAGCAGCCCCAGGCAGUAGGAAAUGCGGAUUGCUGUUUUUAGGCAGGUAACCAGGAAGGUAGACUGCCCAAGCCCCCAUGUAAGCACCACCUCAGGAGCACAUACCCCCUUCCUUCCAAGAAACUACCUUGUCUUACAGCUCUGACAUCCCUUCUGAACCCUAAAAUCUUCCUGGUCUCUUCGUAGGGGUCAGAGUGAAAAAUGGUAAGCAGAGAAUGUGCUGUUUUACUUUACAUGAGCUGGCCAGCCUGGCCCACUCACGGAGACGCCCUCAUCUUGUAUUACCUGCUCAGGAGAUCACCCUUCCGACAAUGCUCAGUGAAGAGGGUAUGAAGCCAUCAUCUCAGGUGGAUUAUUCCCACACAGAAAUGUCAGCCCAGGGGCCAGAGCAGGGCCUCAUGCACUAAACCAUGGAGCCUGCUAGGCAGGGUUCCCGGGGUCAUAAAAGCCUUUCACGGACACUCCCAAUGGACCACCUGUUGCUGCUGAACUUCACCGGGUAACUUCUGGUGAGAGCCCCAUGACUGUGUCCCCUGCCCUGAGGUCAUCUUGUAGGAGGGGCAGAAACGGGGAAGCCACAAUCCUGGUUCCUGUGGGUAGGUCCUGUGUGCCAGCCACCUCUUAGCAGCCACCUGCUACCAAGACAAAUGUGGAAGAGGAGACAGCAUCCCAUGAUGCAUGCACAUUUGUGCACUUGGGCACACACACACACAAGCAUCUUCCAUUCAUAGCGUGGCCUUUCUGAAGCAGAAUGGACUUCUAGCUAGCUCUAAAGUAGGCUGAACCUAAGAGGGCCCAACUGCGUGGCAGUCGAGGCUCCAGGCCAAGGCAGGAUCCGAGUUGAGGAUCUUGUGCCAAUGAACAGCCUGGUGUGUGGAAGACUACAGUUGGAUGGAAUGGUCUCCAAAGUAGGCAGAUAGACCAGCCCCCCGGAUCCAGGACAGGGGUCAUCUGGAGUGCCCAAUGCAAGUGUGGGGCUGCCUCCUGCAACCCAUGAAAUGAGAAUGAAGCUGCAGGUGUCCAUGUCCACACGUGCGAGAGUGGGAAGGGAAGGGAGUCGGACGUUCAGGCAUGAAGCUCAUCCCUGCUCUUCCCUGACUUUGGAGGAAGCCUUAAGCAAAUCACUUACUUAGUCUGUGCAUUAACCAACCCACAGGAUUGUGGGGGGGCAGGAUGUCCAAGGGUUUGAGAUUCUGAAUCAGGGCCUUUGUAGAUGGACAGACAUCCUUCAUGAUGGUAACUAAUGUUCACCUUGAAGAAACCUGGGGAGGACUGAGGGAAGCCGGUCCCAGCACCUUUAAGGGCUGGCUGCCAGCUACCUAGGUUCAUCGCACAUCUAUCUGGUGAGCCAGCGGAGUUGUGCAUUUAUUUUUAAUUACUUAAAAUGCUGGGCUGAAUCUUGUUUCCUCUCAGGAACUUAACUUACUCAACACAGGUUGCUGUAGAUAGGCAAUGUGCCCAGAACCUCAGAUGGGUGGCUGCUGGGUGCUUGCCUGAGGCCAGGUGAUGCUGAGCUUGAGUCAGCACUCAGUGCCUUACUGGGAACAAACCAGCACCCUCAGCUCAAGAGAACAGCCCCAUCUUUUCCCUCCUGCCCCAUUCCACAGCCACCAGCCACCUUCAUCUUAAGGCAGCUCCAGCACACCCGCUCUCCCAACAGUGGCUCCCAGCAUAUGCCCUGGGUCUCUGGGCCUCCAGAGUCAUUAUCAGGGAUAUGGGAUUCGUGCAAGUGAAAGCUAGUAUGUAUCAGUGUUACGAUGCUGAUCAAGAGCCAGAAGAGGGAUCCCUGGGUGGCGCAGCAGUUUGGCACCUGCCUUUGGCCCAGGGCGCGAUCCUGGAGACCCGGGAUCGAAUCCCACGUCGGGCUCCCGGUGCCUGGAGCCUGCUUCUCCCUCUGCCUGUGUCUCUGCCUGUCUCUCUCUCUGUGACUAUCAUAAAUAAAUAAAAAUUAAAAAAAAAAAAGAGCCAGAAGAGCAAGGGUUCACUUAACACCCGAGACAACUGGGACACCAAAGUGACAGGAAAGCAUGAGUUUUUCUGGGUAGAGAAGCCCGGAUGAAUACCCAGGGUAAGGCAAUGAGGCCUUCAGGCUGUCUCCCCAAGAGUUCAGAUGCCAGGUCUUUCCUGUGGGCAGGAAAAAAAAAAAGGAAGCAUCUGACAGCCAACAACCCCUUCCCCAGAUGCAUUUUAUUUAACAUUUUUUAAGAAUGCUUUUAAGGACUUAAGUACCAUUUUAAGAUGCAACCAGGGCCGGACUUACUUGGUACCAGCCUUCAUAUUGGGACAAUACUGUUUCUGGCCCUAGUCAUUAAUGUUUUAGGUCUCCAUCACAUUGUUCUCAAAGCCACCUAUAACAGUCUAGGCGGGGAGGCAGGAGGGGCUGGCACGGAGGGUCGUGCCUGAGGCUGGAAGGUGCUGGCCCUGGGUCAGCACCUGGUGCCUUAUACCAGUUUGGGAACAAACCAACACAAGUCGGGAGGACACCCUGCUCUUUUCCCUGCUGCCUCAUGUACAGCCCAGGGGGUCAGAGCUGGUAGAGAGGCAGUGACCCCAGAGUGUCUCUUCUGAAUAAAUCACCCCAAUGUGGCCUUGGACCCUGUUCCUGGAAGAUGCAGAGAGCAGCCCCGGGACCCUGCCAAGUUCUCCUGGGUGAAGAUAGAAUUGGAAGAAGCAUCAAGAAAAGACAAAUUUUCCGAGACGCUGUGCCUGAGGAGAGUGGGUAGAGGGAUGUGGCCACUGCCGACCGCAGGGACGGACAUGGAAAUGUAACACGGGCUCACGCCUGUGUGUGGGAAGAGCCCCGCCCGCCCUGUCGAUGAAUGUCGUGUCAUUAGUGGAAAGGAAAGAGGGAAACAGAUAGUGACUUUCCUUCGGCGUGGGUGUGGUGGUGCACAUUACCCUCCGGCUGUUUGCACCCUCCUGUGGCCAACAACCAAAAUAAAGCCAGUCGUUAUUUUG
Molecule: long non-coding RNA, 3854 nt
Filed under: Canis lupus familiaris (dog)
Lineage: Eukaryota; Metazoa; Chordata; Mammalia; Carnivora; Canidae
Description: lncRNA (ENSCAFG00845030756.1)
Source: RNAcentral